This is an RNA transcript of Athalia rosae (coleseed sawfly), 7305 nucleotides long. RefSeq lists it as uncharacterized. NCBI's taxonomy places the organism in Eukaryota, Metazoa, Arthropoda, Insecta, Hymenoptera, Athaliidae. The record is from RefSeq and is a predicted model, not a curated record. The transcript has 16 exons.
GCGUUACCAUAUUUGAGUCAACGAUUACCCCGCAAUUUUCAUCCAGAAACGGAAAGCUGUACUUGUAUCCUGUUUGUAUGAAUAGAUUAGUACGAGCACAAUGUUUUUUUUGUUGUGAUUCCAAAAAGUAUAACUCUACUGAGUCAUGUCUUGAAGCACAAUGUUUGAUAUUUGAUAUUUUACCUGUGCAGUAAAAAAUUGUGUCGACAAUUUCAGACGAAUCAUCUUUAAAGACUGCUUCGUGUUCCGUCAACUCAGCGAGGUCUGGCUUCUGGAAGUUAGAGGAGAAAGAAAUGAAGACGUCAAUAGUCGAAAUGAAUGGUCCAGCUCCAAAGACAACGACUUUUUUACCGGAGAAAAAUUCUGGAACUCUGUAAUCGUGACUGUGCAACAUAUUUCCCUUGAAAGAUGAAUCGCCAGAAAUCUUAGAUCCUCAACCUGUACUGACCACUUUCCGGUAUCAUCACCUGACAAUGGCUCGACAAAUUCCACAUGAUGAUAAAACUGUAACGAAAUAAAUGACUACCAAGACGAGUGUCCACCACCGAUGCUGGUCGAAAAGUGAAUGCAAUCUGUGAGUUCAACGGAACUGCAGACCCAAAUUCAAAAAUGGAUUGUAUCAAUCCUUGCAGACAAACUGGAGGAGGUAGCGAGGGAAGUCGAGGGUUUGAAAAAUCUGGAGAUGGACCCAAAGCUAAACAAAAUUGUGUUCAAAGCUAUCAUAUGUCUAUCGCACAGUGCGGAUCGCGCUCAGCCCUCAGAUACCCAAAUGGGAAAAAUGAUAUUCAUAGUAUCAGACGCCAUGUGCAAAUUUUUUACCGAAAUACCAGAUUUGAUGAAGUAUUUCUCGUGUAUUUACCACAUUGUGAAGAAUUUGAUCGCUAUGAAACUUUUCAAUGAAGCAAUGAAAAUUACGGAGUGGUCUUUUCCAGGAAGUCUUGUCAACAAUCUGUCCGCAUCGCAUUGGGACAUGUACCCUAAGAUAGCAAGUUUAUGGCAUACAGCUGUGUGUGAGUUAAUCGACGAAUCACGAGUUGAAUUCAUAACUGAAAAUGAAUGGAUUACAAUUCUGAAGCUUAUAAGUAGUGAAUUUAGAAUCCUGGAAGUAGUUGCCAAUACCCAUGGGCAGUAUGUUAUCUGCAGAACGCUCAAGUAUUUAACAAAACUUUAUCCUCCAUCAAUCAAAAUCGUACAAAAAGCAGAAUUCAACCACUGUAAUAUAAUCAAGGCAUUCCUAUCUAGGAUUGAUAUUCUUUUGCACGAAGAAAAAAAGUAUGCAUAUUAUCACGACGCUUUACGCUUUGUAAACUCUGCAACAGUUACAAAUGUUAAAUCACUUGCAAUAGAAAAUGCUCUUGCAGUUUUUGUGGACAGUUGUUUGAUCGUGGAGAUGAUUUUUUCGUCCGAUGUUGAGCUCAGUAGAAGCAUCUUGCUGUACCGCAAUAUGGGGAUUAUGCUUCUCAAACCCGUUGAUAGCACUAAAAAAAUACCACACUGGAAAUUUGAACAGAUACAAGCAGAAACAUUGAGUUUAUUAAGUAUAUUUCCUAAUGGUCAAGGAGUCACUUGGAAUAUGCGAAUGAUUGGUUAUGUCAUGCAGAAUCUCUUCCUACACUGGGAGCAGUGCGUUAGUAUGCAAAAUUCCAAGUUUCUGGAACACGGCGUACUUGAAGGGAUGCUGCGUUUCAUCAAGUUGAUGUUUUCAGUCCUGAACUCUGCAUGCACUGAGGGCUGUGAAAUGUGUCGCAAAAAUGGCUGCACAAUGAAAAAGGCACUUUUGACCACCACUAUAGUGAGUUCGCGCUGCAUACAAGUCGUCGGGAAAAUUUCUGCCGAUGAUUCGAUGAAAAAAAUUCUUCCUCUGAUUCACAAUCUCCUGGAAGAGACGGUCGCUGCCAUAUUUGAGAUGAAAAAAGCCGGGUGUCAGCAGUGGUUGUCUCUUUGGAAUAACUGCGCUGUGAACAUUUAUAAUCUUGGCGUUACUUGCCAUAAAGUAUUCUACGAGGAGACUGCCUUUAUCUUCUCUCUGCUGUGCACCUGCAUUGUAAGGUUCGAGGGUAUAAACCCCGUCAACAGUGCGCUCACUUUCAAGAAUCCACUUCCUUGCAUUCUGCAUAGAUUAACCAGUGUCCAUUUCAAUCACGGAUAUUUUAGAGAGGCUAUGACCCCCUGUGCUCUGAACGGGCUUCUCAGUUACCAGGACACGGACAGCAAAGCCUUUCGCACAUGGACUAAUAUUAAGCAAGCUUGUGUGGGUACUGAGGAGAUUAUGAAAAUGACCAUGCUCUGUUGUCUGAAGGAAGACCAGGAUGCCAUUUCAGAAAUAGGGGUGGAUAUUAAGUUUGCUGACUAUAAUUUGCGAGAAGUCUGCCUCCAAGAAUUACUAGGUCUGCAGGAAGCCAGGUGUGAUUUGUCUACUGCUAUGUACUCCGUUCUUGAUAAACUGCAGAUGGAAAGCUCAGGAACCAUCGAAUAUGUGCAGGGGGUUCAAUUACUCAGUUAUCAUCUGCUUCGCCAUGAAUCAGGCCGGGAGAAUUUUCCGAAAUAUUUAAGACGGGCAAAUAAGAUACUCGCUGAGAAAAAGGUCACAGCGGAUCUGCAGUUAUGGUCAGAAGCAGGUUUGAACUUUUGCGCGUUCGUCACGGACCUGCAAGAAAUCGUUGAACAAACUAAGGUGGAAAUGGAAACGGCAAAAUUUUCACUUAGGGCUGCAAAAUCGGUCUCUCACGAAGGCCAGCCAAAAAAUGAGGUCGUCAUUCCCGCUUUCACAAAGAUCAAUGUCACCCAGGACGACAAACUUUUCAAAAACUUGGAACGUGCUUUGAGUAAAUGGAGUCAUUGCAUUGAUGCCAAUCAAAUCAGCAAAAUUCCUGAAUGGUACUCAGCGUUUAUCCUGAGGAUAUUGGUCAUCGUUGGUGAAUACUGUAAGCUUCACCACUUUUCCAUAUUAGAAAAAAAGGCCUGGGAACUGGCUUACAAGGUAGCUAACCAGCUGAACAAUCACCGUACCACUGUCUAUGUCGUGGGACGCAGUAUUUCUCUGUGGAACGUAAACUUCGAGUGGAUAAAUACCGUAAAUGCAUUAGCCGCCAAAUUGAGUACUCUCAACAAUUUAGAUGACGAUAAAGCUGUCGCCGUAUAUUUCCUAGGCUUAACGAAUCUCUAUUUUAAUCAUGGAAAGUACGAAGGCGGUGUAGAAUUUUUGCAGAAAGUUUUAUCCCUCGACAACAUUAACCCCCCAAAAAAUAUGGAGACCUAUCUAUCUAGCAUGGGCAGUAUAGUGAGGAAUUAUAGAUUUUAUUCCGACGAAAGUAAUAGCACAAAAUACAUGGUUUACGUCGCUCGAUGUUUCUAUACUAUGCUAGCAUUGAUGGAAUAUGCAUCAGAGUCAAAUGGCUUGUCAAAAGAGAAACAGCUCUAUCGUUUGGAAACCCUCCUGAGCUGUACAGCGAAUUUAUCGCUACUUCUGAACAGCAUACUCUCCUUCAAAGAGAUAUCCUGUCAUCUGACUAACCGUUUGAAACUGGCUCAGGCCUCGGGAGCAGCGUUACGUGUCGCGGAGUGUCUGAAAUAUUUAUGUUUCAUAGAUCUAUCUCGAAUGCAAUUAGACGACUGCGUCGUUAAACUGCAGGGUCUCGAAUAUAUCCUGGAGACAGAAUACACGCAACAAUCGCAGAACUCGAGUAACCCUCACAGCUCGAUCGACAAUUUUGGCAAGUCUGGAUUCAGAGACUCUGCGAUGAACUCGGCUUCCCCCCGGCUCAGGAAUAGCGUCUUCGUCCGGCCAAAGUUCUUGGAACAUGGAGAUAACUGUCUCUGCUAUAAGUGCGGCAGUUUGGAUUACCAGAACCUGGUAUUAUCUGGAACCCACAUAAGAGCGCAACUUUAUUUUUCGCAAGGUCAUUUUGACCAGGCUUCGCUGUUCUUUAACGGAGCGUUUUACCUCCAGAGAAAACUGCUACGUCGGCAGAUCGACCGAGGUAUUCCUGGCAUUGGUGUUCCGUUCGAAGACAAAGUAGGAAAAUAUCCUUGGUGCUCCUAUUAUCAAGCUAUACAGUACGUCCGACUACUCAUCGAUUUCAGCCUGUUCACUAGGGUAACUGUACCUGGCGAUAUUAACGGAGAUGGAAUGGAGAUUGUCUCGGAGGCGGUUCACCUCUGUGAGAUAUUCCACUUGGAAAGUCACCCCAUAUAUUUCUCCGCCAGAGAACUUUUACUCGAGUAUCAAUUCUGUUCUAUCUUCAAAGAUGAAUCGGAUUUUGCGAAAUUUACUGUUCCCGAUCCAUCUGCCUUUGAUGUACACAAACUUGUGUACAACGAUGAUGCCACUGUUCUUCCGACCACUGUUACACCAUCUUCGAAAGCGGUUGGUAAAAAGCCCCUGAGUAUUCGCCGGAUCAAAACUCCACCAUUAUUGAAGCUGACUAAAAUCAAAAUGGACCUGAGCGAAGGCGAAGAAGAUGCGGAUUCAGGGUCUCCGAAAUCGUCCAGACAUAGGGGUAAAGCUACAAAGUUUUAUACAAAUUCAAGAUCCUUGAGAAAAAAGUUGGAAUACACGGACUCAUCGCCCACCCCCGGCUCAGAGAAGAAAUCAGAUUUGAUGAGCACCUACUUGGAUGUGCCAGAGACAGUGUCAAGAUUGGAAAUUGGAGCAGGUAGAGCUUUGGCUCGAACCGUGAGCCUUAGUAUUAAGCUUUUUCCAAAACUAAGUGAACCGGUGAAUGAAAUUGUAAAUAAUGAAAAACUUAGCGAUAAGGAAAAAAUAGCAAAAAUUAGCAAUCUCGUUGAACAAUAUGAGCACGAAUCUGCCCAUUCGAAGACAGACAAGUUCCUUGAUCAGGAGAAGAAAAUUACAGGCAGGAAAACUCGGAAGUCUUCGCGCACUGCAAAUAAAUUGUCCACGAGUGAGGCAUCGUCCGGUGUCAUGAAAAAAACUGAUCCGUACUGCCGAACGAAGCUUGAUUUUGCCGAAUGCAUAAAAGAAGAAAUAAACGCCCCGGAGGUGGUUGUAAAGUCUCGUCCCGAUGCUGUGAAGGCAUCAAAGGAUUCGAAUGACAAAGCAAGAUAUUCGUCGAGGACGAAUACUGACCCAAUUUCAACUAAUGAAGUUACAAAGAAUGUAGAGCCGCAGGGACGACAGCGAAAUUCGCGAAGGAUAGAAAAAGCCGAUGAGAUUAUGAAAGACAAAAAAGUGACAUCCAUUCUAGAAACCUCGGACGUUAUUCCGGCCUCUGAUAACGAAGAAAACAUAACUUCUGAACUCCGCAAAAAAAUCAACAAUCUCAAGAUUACCCGUGGAACUUCUUCCAAGGUUACAAAACCUCGGUCAAAGUCCGCGGCUGUUACGAUCACCUCCAAAAUUACCAUUGUUGAUUCGGAUAAUUCAGAUAUCAUUUCAUUCUCCGACGAUGAGAAGUUGACGAUUUCUGAUUCCCGUAGGAAUAUCGUUACGCUUAAGACCAAGUCUAGAACUUCAUCCAGGAUUACAAAGUCUCAAUCCCAGUUGGCGGUUGCUACGACCUCCUCUAAAAUGCCAAAUGUCGACGAUUCAGAUACUGAGAAACCCGUUGAGACUGGUAGGCAAAGAAGCAAUAGACAAAAAAGUAAAUCAAACGAUGAAAGAGAGUGUGAAACAAAUUCGGAAUUAGUUGUAACCAGGACUGAAUCAGAGGCGAAAAAAGAAAGGAGUAAACGCCAAGCGUCUAGUCGAUCUAAGUUAAAGAAAUAAAUGGAAAUGUGAUGAUCUCCAUGCCUAGAAAUGCAUUAGUUCAAUCAUAGGUGUGAAGGAUAUUUUCUUACUCAUUACUUUUAUGAUUUAAACUGAGACGGACGAUUCCUCAACAAAUGUUGCAAGAAAAUGAUGCAGGAAUGCGAUGAGACAGAGUUUCCUUUGUCAACUAUUCAUCCCUGUGGCCCUCCUGAAUUAUCUUUUCAUCACAAAUUAGCCAUCAGCCUUUUUAUUCACUCUGAGACGAUAGCCUCAACAAAUGUAGAAACAAGAGAUGUGAAUGAACAGUAAAGAACCAAAAAGAGCCAAAGGGGAAUCGGAAAACAGUAUCUGUUCGCAAUCCUGGAAAUUUUGAAGAAAGCUUUCGGACAUAUGGAUCACAGUUUAAAGGUUUCAACACAAAAUCAUCUGAUCUAGUCAAAGUUGCAUACGGAUGGUCAGGGCAGUGUCUGUUGGCGUGCGUAAAUCUCAUCUCACAACCUGCUUCUGUACACAAAAAUGGUUUUUCACCAGUGUGGAGACGCUGAUGCGUUUUGAGCUGCCCAGAUUGAGUAAAUGCUUUUGUGCAGCCCGGAUAAUCACAUGGAUAGGGCCUCUCUCCUGUGAGAUUUUCUCAAGCUAAAACGUGACGCCUGUUCCAUGCUAAACAAAGAACGGACAUCUUGUCGUUCGGUCUUUCAUGAAAGAAAGAACCGAAGAAUAAAGAAAGUGAGAGUGGCCCUUGUGUGGAAAGAAGGCAACGAAAAACUAGAGAAAGUAAAGACGAGAACCAAAUUAUUUCUCGAAAGUUAAUCCACGCAUCUAUUCUCAUAUCCACGAUAAAAAGCUUGGAAUAAAAAAAUUUCCUCCACGGUUUCUACGCAACGUAAAGUCUUACGUUUACGAUACGCGUACGCCGGGUGGAGAGGAUUUUAAUUCGUUCACAAGAGCGACGGUUGAAAGAAGAAGGGGGGAAAUUCCCCCUUUGUUCCGCCCCCCUUGCUUCUCCUUUUACAAGUUUACUCAACGCACACCAGGGCGAAUUCUAUAGAUAUUUGUUAUUCAUCUUAACCUGUGUGAGUGCGCAGGUGCGCCUGAAGGCUCUUCUCCCUCGGGAAUACCCUGUUGCAAAAUGUGCAUUUAAUACUACUCGGUGAUGUGCUUCCUUGCAUCAUUAAAUUAUUGAGGGCAUCAGCUCUCGGUCUUCCUCGACGAUGAUUUUCUGAGGACGCUGAACGGGCGCCGGCGCUUACGCCGUCCACACAAUCCCCGGCAUUUACGUUAUGGUGAAGAAUUUGAUGUUCGAUUCACCAGGGAAGAAAGAACUCCCGGUUGGUGGCGCGCUGUAAGAUCUGGAAUUAAACGAUUUAUCAAAAAACCCAUUCAUUAUUCUGAAAAAUAGAGGUGGUGGGGGUUAGGUGCGCUGGGGACAAGACUCAGCGGCGGUUCCUCCCUGAGACCAAACCUCGUGGUGAACUGCCUUCGACUCGGCCAUAUUGGAAUAUUGGAUGUCUCUGUUACACAAGGGCUCAAAAGUAGCCGUGAAAUUUUCGCAUAAUCCUCGAGAUCGAGAGGAUAAAAGAAGCAAUGGAGAACAC